RNAcentral lists this ribosomal RNA (792 nucleotides) under Micrococcus sp. RNAcentral describes it as "bacterial SSU rRNA". It matches the Rfam family "Bacterial small subunit ribosomal RNA", at positions 91 to 895 of the family's 1533-position model. The record is from RNAcentral. Lineage: Bacteria; Bacillati; Actinomycetota; Actinomycetes; Micrococcales; Micrococcaceae.
AUUAGUGGCGAACGGGUGAGUAACACGUGAGUAACCUGCCCUUAACUCUGGGAUAAGCCUGGGAAACUGGGUCUAAUACCGGAUAGGAGCGCCUACCGCAUGGUGGGUGUUGGAAAGAUUUAUCGGUUUUGGAUGGACUCGCGGCCUAUCAGCUUGUUGGUGAGGUAAUGGCUCACCAAGGCGACGACGGGUAGCCGGCCUGAGAGGGUGACCGGCCACACUGGGACUGAGACACGGCCCAGACUCCUACGGGAGGCAGCAGUGGGGAAUAUUGCACAAUGGGCGCAAGCCUGAUGCAGCGACGCCGCGUGAGGGAUGACGGCCUUCGGGUUGUAAACCUCUUUCAGUAGGGAAGAAGCGAAAGUGACGGUACCUGCAGAAGAAGCACCGGCUAACUACGUGCCAGCAGCCGCGGUAAUACGUAGGGUGCGAGCGUUAUCCGGAAUUAUUGGGCGUAAAGAGCUCGUAGGCGGUUUGUCGCGUCUGUCGUGAAAGUCCGGGGCUUAACCCCGGAUCUGCGGUGGGUACGGGCAGACUAGAGUGCAGUAGGGGAGACUGGAAUUCCUGGUGUAGCGGUGGAAUGCGCAGAUAUCAGGAGGAACACCGAUGGCGAAGGCAGGUCUCUGGGCUGUAACUGACGCUGAGGAGCGAAAGCAUGGGGAGCGAACAGGAUUAGAUACCCUGGUAGUCCAUGCCGUAAACGUUGGGCACUAGGUGUGGGGACCAUUCCACGGUUUCCGCGCCGCAGCUAACGCAUUAAGUGCCCCGCCUGGGGAGUACGGCCGCAAGGCU